Molecule: long non-coding RNA, 7159 nt
Filed under: Mytilus galloprovincialis (Mediterranean mussel)
Lineage: Eukaryota; Metazoa; Mollusca; Bivalvia; Mytilida; Mytilidae
Source: RNAcentral
CUUGUUUGUUUACAAAUGGAGGACACCGAGGCGGCAAGAUUUAACAUGUCAUAGAAAAAGACGAUGAUUUCAUGCCAUUCCAUAACAUUAUAAGACAAUGACUGAUCAGUUUGGUACAAUCACCUGGUGGGGGUUCACUCCAGCUCUGGAUUUGCAAGAUACAGGUGGAUAACAUUUCAUUUUCGAUAAAGAUUAAAGACAGUGUGUUCCAAAUACUAGAAUGUUCUAAAUCCUCUCAAAAUUACUACCAUAACUAAAUGAGGCUGCAUACCCAAUUAUUUUCUGUUCUCUUUAAUUCUAGCAAUACUUCAUUAAAUCUGUAUAUAUCUUGGUAUAUUCUUUCAGCAAUAUAAAAUUAGAAAAUGUGUGAUUGCCAAUGACAAAGAGACAAUUUUCUCUCCUCCUGAGAGACCAAAUGACAUAGAAAUACACGAAUCUGGGUCCGUUCGCGCCCGAUCACGUUCGCGCCCUUUCACUUUCGCACCCUACACGUUCGCGCCCAAGUUUUAUUGGUUUUGUGUUUGAUAACUUUAUAACCAAGUUUUGGCAAGUGUAUUCAUAUUAGUAUAUUUGUUGUCAUUGUCUCAAAAUAAAGUGAGACAACGUGUUUUUUGUGUUGAAUAAAUCUUAAUCAUGUUUUGCCGGAUAGUGUAUUGUUAAAAUAUUUUUAAUCAUUUAAAUAAAGUGAGAUUCUGACGACCGGCAUUUUCGGGUGGAAUAAAUCUUAAAUAUUAAUCAAUUUUGGUUAGUGUAUUGCUAUAAUUUUUUAUUUAAUUGUUUCAGAUCAAAGGGACCAAUCUGUUAAAAAAAAUUAUCUUUUGUGUUUUUCAUUUAAAAUUUUCAAUGUUUUACUCAUACGAAGCUAAAUAAUUGCAUUAUUUACACCAAGGCAAUUUAAAACAACAAUCAUGAUUUUCUAAUUAUUCAACUGGAACUUGAUUUUAAAUUGGGUUUCGAACGGACCUUGGGUGCGAACGUGCGAGGUGCGAACAUGUAGGAUGCGAAAGUGUAUUGGGCGCGAACGGACCUGAUACCGAAAUACACUACUAGAGAUAACCUUCAACAAUUAGCAAAACUUACACUGCAUAGAAAGCUUUGAAGGGACCUGAAAUGACCAAUGGUAAACAAUUUCAACGAGAAAACUAAUGGUCAGCUGUCAAGCUAGUUUACAUGUAUGUUCAAAAAAUAAUAAAACAACAUAUUAUAUACAACAACAUAUGAAAAACACAGAAUGCAAACUCCAGUCUUUAAACAAGCACCUACAGAAUAUAUCCGAGUUAAAUGUGUUAGUGAUAGCCCAACCUUGGAUCCACAAAACCUGGGACAGUGGUCAUGGUGGUGCAACAGAACAAUACAAGAACUAACUGUAAAAAAAAAUUAACAAGAAAACGCAAAUAUGUUAAACAACAACCACUCAAUUACAAACUACUGGCAUAAAGUGUGUAGGGGUUAUACAUAUUUGUUUUGGGGCCCUUUACAGCAUGUGUUAAAGACCUACAAUGUAUUAUGUUUUUGUUUUUUUUACAAAUUGUGACUUGGAUAAAAAUUUGAGAGUUGUCUCAUUAGCACUCAUACCACAUCUUAUAUCUAUUGUCAGUUUGUGGGUGACCAACCCUCUAACCAACCUGGAACAGUGUUGUAACACCACAAAUUGAGAAAAAAAUAAUGAAGGUCAUGAGAUGUAUUUAUUUACAUGUACGUUAAAUGGGAUUACAAAGAGUAUAUAAUAUGUAACAGGAGGGCUGUUUACGUUGUGUGUUUUCUGUGUCAACUUUUACAUAUUUUACCCCAGACCAUGUAAGAGUAGGUAUCAGGUUUUUAAGUUGUGUAUUUCCGUAUCAUUGUCAUUGUCAACAUAUGUUAACCAACUGUUUACCCCUGUCUGCCUAAAGAGUUAAAAUCUAGAUCCUGAGUCUAAAGAGUUAAAAUCUAGAUCCUGAGUCUCUGAUCCUUCAUAUCAUCAUAUGUGGCUUUGUAGAACUCAACACUAGCAAGUUUUCAUAGUUUAUUAGCAAAUUAUAAUUCGACAAGUAUCAACAAUUUUGUAAAGAUAAAAACAUUAAACAUGUAUACGAAAGACAUUUAAAAUUUCACAUAAAAGUGACAUAGCUUAAACUGUCAUUUUAACCUUGUUCUAGAUGUAUUAUAAUGCUAGACACAAGAGCGACAUUGUCUCUAGUGGCAGUAAAAUGCAUUACACCUUUCGUGUAGACGGUGAGCAAUGUCUGUGCAAGACCAGUUAGUCAGCGAAGUCUGUGCUGGACCUUUCAUGUAGACAAGGACUGAGGUCUAUUCAAGACCAGUAAGCUCUUAAAUAAAAGCUAAAAUGAGAGGUUGUUAUAUCAACCAGAGUGGCUUAUGAAAACAAGCCCAGUACAAUUAUUUAUCUCUGCAAUUAUUUAACAAAUACUAUUCAAAUAUAAACACUCUAUAACUAAAUUAUAAGUUGCAAAUUCAACAAAAUCUGAAAAUAAAUUCAAUGAAUUUUAGCACAAUAAUGUAACUAAAUAUAUAGACAUGUUAAACAACAAUUUUUAUCAAUAAUUCAUAUUAACAAUAGUAACUUAAUGACCAUUUUAGAGGGACAUAAUACUGUUCUAAAACAUAGGAUCGCCAUUACAAAUAUAAGACAUUAUUUUAAACAACGACAAAAAUAAUUAUCAAGUAUUAUUAUAUACAAAGAAAAAAACCCAGUUUGAACAUGAAUAAACUUCACAAGCAUACACACACAUACACACACAUGUAUUUUAUAUAACAAUAAGGAAAUGUAAGAUUGUCAACCAAAGUUUUAACCCUUUCCUCCAUUAUGAUGCUUUUUGACGCCACCCCCUUUCCUCCAUAAUGACGCCUUUUGCCGCCACCCCCUUUACUCCAUAAUGACGCCUUUUGACGCCUGUGUAGAACUUCAGUUGAAACGCUUUGACUACAAAAUGUCUGCAUCAAACUUUAAAAAAUUGUAUCUAAUAUAAAAAGAAAAUUCGUGAGAAUAUCUGACUUGAAUUUCAUUGAUGAAAUAUUUGUUUUUGUAAUGCAUUAAAUACUUCAAACCUUUUUUUUAUUGAAAAAAUCCUAUGCGAAUCAAGUAUUUUAAAAAAAAAUCUCCAUGGAGUAAAGGGUUAAUAAAGUGGAUGAAAGCAAUUUUAAGGCAACCACACAUGUACAGCUUCCAACAAUGAGAAAUAACCAUACUGUAGUUGGCUAUGAAAGGCCCGACAUACAUGAAAUGAUUCAAUGGAGAAAAGGAGAAGCCUUAUUUAUAACAAAACAAUUUGCCAAAAAAAAAAAAAAAAAAUGACACAGAUGAACCAACAAUAACCAUGAUAACUACUGAACUACAAGCUCUUGACUAUGGACAGGUUCAGCUUAAACCAUUCCAGAUUCAUUGUAAACUAUUGCAAUUACCUUCAGGUGAAAACAUCUCUAUGUCAACAGUCAAUUUAUUCUUUUUAUAUAUUUACAGAUACGAUCUCAGCACUGAACAAUUUGAAACUAGAUACAGACGAAGUAAAAGGUAAAAUAAUGAUAUGUUUUACAGGCAAUAGCAAUGAGACUGCUGGUGCUAUUUGCACAAUCAUGUAAAUUUCAGGUUUAAACUGUAUCUCUGGCCUUGAUCAACAUUUCUACUCCUCACAAGAUCCCCUUUUUAUUUCACUCUCAUUCGCUUGUCACUUUGCCCCAGAAAUUUCCUUGCGGUUUUGGCUGAUAACAACGUAUUUGGUAUAAAUACACAGAUAAUAUCAUGUUCAAAAUAACAUUCCUUAUUGCUUGUAAAAAAUUCAUUUCUUCAAUGAAUACUAAUGAAAAUAUUUUUUAAGAAACAAAGAUAAAUAAUAUGAAAAUGUUUAGUUGUGAGGAAUAUAUAGUAAUGUUUACACUGUUUGUACAGAUGCAGUUACUGAUACAAAUUUGUACUUUUAAUGCAUUUACAAUUUUCAUUGUCACUUUUAUUCGAAAACAGAUACAUAAAAUAUGCUUUUGAUUGUAUUUCUACAAUUACAUUAAAUAUACUUUUGAUGGUGUUUUUACAGAUACAUUGAAUAUACUUUUGAUUGGAGCAGGUGAUAUCAGACAUGUUUUACAAACCAUCGCCAGAUCAUAUAGACACAAAAAACGGAAAUUACAUGUAAGGUUCUGUGUGCGUUAGUUAAAUGAAUUCAGCCAGACAAAUAGAUAUAUACUAUUUCAUUAUGGGGAUUGAACUCAAAAAAGGAUUUAAGGAUGUACUUAGGUGAGGGUUUGAAAUAAGUGGCAAAUGUUCGGACUCCUUGGUGUUUUUCCAUGCGAUACAAGGUAAAUUAUUUUGCCCCAUAACACUUAUUUAUCUUUUAACAUAAGAUUUAAUAGCUUAUAAAAGGUUAUUUGGCAAAAUUUAAGCAGAUUCUUGAUUUUCUGUCUUUCGGUUUGAGACCCAAAAAAUACCAAUGCAAAUAUAAGGUAAAAGUCAGUCAUCCUUUUCCCGCCAUAUUUUAUAAAUCAAAUAUCUCGAAAAGGAGCUCCAUGAUGUAUCCAUAUUUUUAGGUUAUAUUGAUCCUUAACUAAUACUCUUCCAGCUUAAAGUAUCAAUUUUGAAUUCUUGAUUUAUUUAAUUUUACCUUUAAUCACCUACAUUUGUAAGUACAUCCUUAACUCUUUGAAAAUAACAGAAACUUUUGUGUCAACCAUUCUCAUAGAUAUAAUAUGUAACACCGAUCAUACAUCUGUUCUGUUAUACAUGAAUGCUUAAACCAGGUCUACCUAAGUUAGGCCGAGAAAAAAAAGAUCGAUGUUUCCGGUAACCCGACCGACCCUGUUUUUUAGCCCCGACCCUAACUUUUUUAUUGGAUCUUCAAAAAAAAAAAAAAAAAAAAUUGUAUCAACCGACCCCUUUUUGACACAGGCUUCUGAUAAGAUGACAUAAUAUUUUUUCUCUCUUGCUUCUACUGCAUAGAAAGCCAGUAAAACAUUUUAUAAUGUCAAAAGGUAUUCCAAAUAAAAAUCCAAGAAAUUUGCACAGCAGGUGCUUCAAAAACAUUGCAAAUGGCACACUUCCGGUUUUUGAAACUAAUUACGAUCCGGAUUGGAAAAACCAUGAUAAUUUUCCGGAUUUCAUUUACGAUGUCAAAAAAAAAAAAAAAAAAAAAAAAAAAGAAUUCGACCUACCGAGCCUAUUUUUUCAAAUGAUGUUACCGGAAACACAACUUUUUUUUUAGGCCUUAGUAUAAAUGUCUUGUCAUAUUGCAACAAUGACACUUAGAUAGCAAAGAUUUUAACCUCAAAAUGCGUUUGAUUAAAAUGUUUGUCAGUAUUGCAGCAAUUAUAUUCAAGAAAAUUAAGAACAUGAGCUAUAAACAUUGAUAAAACUACAAAUAUGAGAAUGAAAACUUAAACUCUAUAGCAGAAGGAGGAAAAGACAGCAGAAAAGGAAGAGUUUUUUGUUCAGAAUUUAAAACCUUUUUUUUUAGUAAAGCACUUGUGUCACUUACCGAUUUCUUAAAAGACCUCUGAUCAACAUUAGCCUUUGUCUAAUUAGAUGGGUAUUGUAGUUUCUAGUCUUGUGAAGGAAUUGUAAUAUAUGAUUAGAAUAACAAUUUUUAUCUUUAUUUUAGUUCUACAUCAUUGAAACACAAUGUGAACUUUACUGUAGAGACUUAUUGUUUAUGUCAUUGUUUAUGGAACCACCAAACAGAAUGGGUUUACAAGGUUAGAUAUUAUUCUCUGAUUGUUUUCUGCUUUUAAUAAAUCAUGCUUUCACACAAGAUUUAAAAAAAAAAUAUAUGAAUGUAAUUGAACCAUUACUGUAUGAAAUUUCAUUCAUAGGGAAUGUGAUUGCAAAAAUAACUUGUCAGACAUAGCAGAAAUAAUAAAGAAAAAGAUCCGAUACAUAGUGUGCAAUGAGAAAUCAUGUCAGAAGUUUACAUUAAUGAAACAAUAAUUGGGCAACACAAACCAAGAAUGUAUCUAAAGGUUAUUACACAGUUUCAAUGAAUAUAAAAAGAUGUAUGAUUGUCAAUUUAGAGGACUCUCCAUCAGAGAACAAAUGACUUAAAAGUAGACAACUAUAGGUCACUCUUAAAAUCUUCAAUAUUGAGAUAAACUCAAAUUGCAUACAUGUAGCCAGCAAUAAAAUGCCUUGAAAUGACAAAUGUAAAACACUCAAACAAGAAAACUAUAGUAUUCAUACCGUCAUGUAAUGUCUAAAUUGCCUAUGUCUAGACAUAUCUGACAACACCAAAUUCAUAAAUGAACACAAAAAACGAUGAACAUGGAUUUAGUAAAUUACAGUUGAACAGCUUUUAAUUAAAACCCCUGACAAGGCAAGGUUCCUUACAUCAUCAAGUGGCGGAGUUAAACAAGUUAAAAUGAAUACUUUAUGUUUUUGAUUCCCCUAUUGUAAUAAUCAUUUGAAUAACUAAAGCUACAACAGUCUUCACGACGAGUGGCAGCCCAGGCAGCCCAGGCUGGUAAAAUUGCUCUCAGGCCUGUAAAAAUCAGACCUACAAGCCAACAGAAUCUAACUAAAAAUUUUCAAAAAUUGAGCUGCGGGCCUGUAGAUUAAGCAGUUCAGCGUGAAGACUGCUACAAAGAAAAUGCAGAUUAAGAAUAAGUUCUGAAAAAAAAACAACUUACUAAUACAUGCAUACCCGUAGCCAUGGGUGGUUCGGAAGAACCUCCCCUUGAAACCAAAUAAGCACUGUUAAAGUCAAUGUUCUGUUCAAAUUGUGACUGUUGAAGUCGAGUUUAUGAGUUUAUGAGUUUACCCCCAUUGGAAAUUCCUGGCUACGGGCCUGCCAUGUAGUAGUUAGUAUUCAAUAAAAUAUAAAGUAUCCAGUUUUAAUAAUCACAAUUCUUGAUAGUUUAAUAUAAAAGAAUUCUCAGUUUCUAAAGCAAGCUCUAAAUUAUAAACCUUGCCUUGGCCCCCUGAUAAGGAAACUGUGGCUUAUACUUAUAUGUGUUGUCAGUUGUUGUUACAAGUAUAUCUUAAUUUUAUAUAACAACAUCAUGAAUAGUGCAUUAGAACAUAUUAUUGUACAGUGAUUAUAGUAAAGUUAUAUAUAUAUGAACUAGAUUUGAUUUUUUUUUGGUAGAGAAAACAGAACUAUUUUUAGAACUAUAUGGGAAUUUACUUGUAAGGCAGCAGUCCAUGGAAUAUGUACAGAAGAUGUCAAAUGAAAUGAUUAAG